CCUACGGGAGGCAGCAGUAGGGAAUCUUAGACAAUGGGCGAAAGCCUGAUCUAGCCAUGCCGCGUGAGUGAAGAAGGCCCUAGGGUCGUAAAGCUCUUUCGCCAGGGAUGAUAAUGACAGUACCUGGUAAAGAAACCCCGGCUAACUCCGUGCCAGCAGCCGCGGUAAUACGGAGGGGGUUAGCGUUGUUCGGAAUUACUGGGCGUAAAGCGUACCUAGGCGGAUUAGUCAGUCAGAGGUGAAAUCCCAGGGCUCAACCCUGGAACUGCCUUUGAUACUGCUAGUCUUGAGUUCGAGAGAGGUGAGUGGAAUUCCAAGUGUAGAGGUGAAAUUCGUAUAUAUUUGGAGGAACACCAGUGGCGAAGGCGGCUCACUGGCUCGAUACUGACGCUGAGGUACGAAAGUGUGGGGAGCAAACAGGAUUAGAUACCCUGGUAGUCCACACCGUAAACGAUGAAUGCCAGUCGUCGGGUUGCUUACCGAUUCGGUGACACACCUAACGGAUUAAGCAUUCCGCCUGGGGAGUACGGYCGCAAGAUUAAAACUCAAAKGAAUUGACGG
RNAcentral lists this ribosomal RNA (561 nucleotides) under uncultured bacterium. RNAcentral's name for it is "bacterial SSU rRNA". It matches the Rfam family "Bacterial small subunit ribosomal RNA", at positions 338 to 916 of the family's 1533-position model. The record is from RNAcentral.